Molecule: ribosomal RNA, 497 nt
Filed under: uncultured bacterium
Lineage: Bacteria
Description: partial 16S ribosomal RNA
Rfam family: Bacterial small subunit ribosomal RNA
Source: RNAcentral
GAUGAACGCUGGCGGCGUGCCUAAUACAUGCAAGUCGAGCGAACAGACGAGGAGCUUGCUCCUCUGACGUUAGCGGCGGACGGGUGAGUAACACGUGGAUAACCUACCUAUAAGACUGGGAUAACUUCGGGAAACCGGAGCUAAUACCGGAUAAUAUAUUGAACCGCAUGGUUCAAUAGUGAAAGGCGGUUUUGCUGUCACUUAUAGAUGGAUCCGCGCCGCAUUAGCUAGUUGGUAAGGUAACGGCUUACCAAGGCAACGAUGCGUAGCCGACCUGAGAGGGUGAUCGGCCACACUGGAACUGAGACACGGUCCAGACUCCUACGGGAGGCAGCAGUAGGGAAUCUUCCGCAAUGGGCGAAAGCCUGACGGAGCAACGCCGCGUGAGUGAUGAAGGUCCUCGGAUCGUAAAACUCUGUUAUUAGGGAAGAACAAAUGUGUAAGUAACUAUGCACGUCUUGACGGUACCUAAUCAGAAAGCCACGGCUAACUACGUG